Zalophus californianus (California sea lion) is the source of this 360-nucleotide long non-coding RNA. RefSeq lists it as uncharacterized. The transcript is spliced from 3 exons. Lineage: Eukaryota; Metazoa; Chordata; Mammalia; Carnivora; Otariidae. The record is from RefSeq and is a predicted model, not a curated record.
CUGGGCCGCGCGGAAGGAGUUCCCUGAGUGGGGUAGGGGGCUCGCUCCUGGAAGAAGGCAUGAGGCCAGGUCCACCUUCGGAACUAGGCGUUCCUCCUCUGAGUGUACUCCUUCGCUCCAGAUACACAUGUCUCGGGCCUUUGUAUUCACUCAGUAACUAGACUAGCGCCCACAAUAGGCCACACCCCCUGCCAUGAGCUACAGUGGAUCCCCGGGCAGGCAUCUCCUACAACCUCGCAGGAUGCGCCGAUCUAAAAAGUCUGCUCAAUACCCUCCCAGAACAGCCUCCAGGGUCACAGGUUUCCAGUGCUUUCUUCCAGAUAAGCUAGGACAGAAGUCAGCAAGCCUUGUCGGUAAAGG